This 466-nucleotide ribosomal RNA is filed under the name Dosinia angulosa. Its description in RNAcentral is "partial large subunit ribosomal RNA". It matches the Rfam family "Bacterial large subunit ribosomal RNA", at positions 1850 to 2624 of the family's 2925-position model. The record is from RNAcentral. Lineage: Eukaryota; Metazoa; Mollusca; Bivalvia; Venerida; Veneridae.
GAGUCUGGCCUGCCCAGUGAUAUGUUUAACGGCUGCAACGAGAGUUGUACUAAGGUAGCGUGGUAAUUUGUCUUUUAAUUAGAGAAUGGUAUGAAAGGUUUUAUGUGGAAAAACUGUCUUUAUAAGACUUUAUGAAUUUUUCUUUUAGGUGAAAAGACCUAUGUAUUUGUAAAAGACGAGAAGACCCUGUCGAGCUUGAUUAGAAUUUCUAAGAUGUUAUAAUUUAAAAUUUUAUUGGGGCAAUAUAAAUCAAAAUAACGGUUUAUUUUUAUAAGAAUCCCCUUAGAGGGAGUAAAGCAAAAGCUACCGCAGGGAUAACAGCGUUAUCCUUUUUAAGAGAUCUUAUUGAGAAAAGGGUUUGCGACCUCGAUGUUGGAUUAGGAAAACUUUAUGGUGCAGGAGCUAUAAGUAGUAAGACUGUUCGUCUUUUAAUUUCUUACAUGAUCUGAGUUUUUCCAAACCGGAA